UUUAACUGAAGAGUUUGAUCAUGGCUCAGAUUGAACGCUGGCGGCAGGCUUAACACAUGCAAGUCGAGCGGAGAGAGGUAGCUUGCUACUGAUCUUAGCGGCGGACGGGUGAGUAAUGCUUAGGAAUCUGCCUAUUAGUGGGGGACAACAUUUCGAAAGGAAUGCUAAUACCGCAUACGUCCUACGGGAGAAAGCAGGGGAUCUUCGGACCUUGCGCUAAUAGAUGAGCCUAAGUCGGAUUAGCUAGUUGGUGGGGUAAAGGCCUACCAAGGCGACGAUCUGUAGCGGGUCUGAGAGGAUGAUCCGCCACACUGGGACUGAGACACGGCCCAGACUCCUACGGGAGGCAGCAGUGGGGAAUAUUGGACAAUGGGCGGAAGCCUGAUCCAGCCAUGCCGCGUGUGUGAAGAAGGCCUUAUGGUUGUAAAGCACUUUAAGCGAGGAGGAGGCUACUUUAGUUAAUACCUAGAGAUAGUGGACGUUACUCGCAGAAUAAGCACCGGCUAACUCUGUGCCAGCAGCCGCGGUAAUACAGAGGGUGCAAGCGUUAAUCGGAUUUACUGGGCGUAAAGCGCGCGUAGGCGGCUAAUUAAGUCAAAUGUGAAAUCCCCGAGCUUAACUUGGGAAUUGCAUUCGAUACUGGUUAGCUAGAGUGUGGGAGAGGAUGGUAGAAUUCCAGGUGUAGCGGUGAAAUGCGUAGAGAUCUGGAGGAAUACCGAUGGCGAAGGCAGCCAUCUGGCCUAACACUGACGCUGAGGUGCGAAAGCAUGGGGAGCAAACAGGAUUAGAUACCCUGGUAGUCCAUGCCGUAAACGAUGUCU
This 821-nucleotide ribosomal RNA is filed under the name Acinetobacter sp. JS678. RNAcentral describes it as "bacterial SSU rRNA". It matches the Rfam family "Bacterial small subunit ribosomal RNA", at positions 1 to 814 of the family's 1533-position model. Lineage: Bacteria; Pseudomonadati; Pseudomonadota; Gammaproteobacteria; Moraxellales; Moraxellaceae. The record is from RNAcentral.